This is a long non-coding RNA of Dioscorea cayenensis subsp. rotundata (Guinea yam), 410 nucleotides long. RefSeq lists it as uncharacterized. NCBI's taxonomy places the organism in Eukaryota, Viridiplantae, Streptophyta, Magnoliopsida, Dioscoreales, Dioscoreaceae. The record is from RefSeq and is a predicted model, not a curated record. The transcript has 3 exons.
CUCUCUCUCUGUACUCUUCUUCGAACGAACUUUGAGCAAGGAUCUCCUUCUUUUCCCUCAUCUUAAAAUUAAAGAUUUAAGGUUGGAAACCUUCAAGUGAAAACAAGGAGCUUAUGGAGGAGUGCCGCAAUUAAGCUUUUAGACUUACAAAUCUAAGCACUUGGUGGUCUCCAUGGUCCAGCUUCAUUAGAGGCGCCAUGAUAGACUGGCUGACAUUGGUUAUCCAUUCAGGAGGUGCGAAGAGAACCUGAAAUUGGAAGUGGGUGGGUACCCCUACUUAUUCUGAGACACCGUGCGUCACCUCACGUUUGAACUUAGAGGCUAACGCCAAGGUGGAUUUGUUUUCAUGUUUAAAGUUGUUUAACUUGACGGUGGUUUAGUUUGGGAACUAUUUUCUUGGCGAAUUUAUG